This 497-nucleotide ribosomal RNA is filed under the name uncultured bacterium. RNAcentral describes it as "partial 16S ribosomal RNA". It matches the Rfam family "Bacterial small subunit ribosomal RNA", at positions 28 to 507 of the family's 1533-position model. The record is from RNAcentral.
GAUGAACGCUGGCGGCGUGCCUAAUACAUGCAAGUCGAGCGGACGGACGCGGAGCUUGCGGCUCGGAUGUUAGGGGAGGACGGGUGAGUAACACGUGGAUACCCUCCCUAUAAGACGGAGAUAACUUCGGGAAACCGGCGCUAAUACCGGAUAAUAUUUUGAACCGCAGGGUGCAAAGGUGAAAGACGGUCUUGCGGUCACUAAUCGAUGGAUACGCGCUGCAUUAGCUAGUUGGUACGGUAACGGCUUACCAAGGCAACGAUGCAUAGCCGAACUGUGAGGGUGAUCGGCCACACUGGAACUGAGACGCGCUCCUGGCUCCUACGGGAGGCAGCAGUCGGGAAUGUGACGCAAUGGUCGAAAGCCUGACGGAGUAACGCCGCGUGUGUGAUGAAGGUCCUCGGAUCGUAAAACUCUGUUACUAGUGAAGAACAGAUGUGUAAUGUACUGUGCACAGCUUGACGGUACCGAGUCAGAAAGCCACGGCUAACUACGUG